UAUUGGACAAUGGGGGCAACCCUGAUCCAGCCAUGCCGCGUGAGUGAUGAAGGCCCUAGGGUUGUAAAGCUCUUUUAGCAGGGAAGAUNNUGACGGUACCUGCAGAAAAAGCCCCGGCUAACUUCGUGCCAGCAGCCGCGGUAAUACGAAGGGGGCUAGCGUUGCUCGGAAUCACUGGGCGUAAAGCGCACGUAGGCGGCUUCUUAAGUCAGGGGUGAAAUCCUGGAGCUCAACUCCAGAACUGCCUUUGAUACUGAGAAGCUUGAGUCCGGGAGAGGUGAGUGGAACUGCGAGUGUAGAGGUGAAAUUCGUAGAUAUUCGCAAGAACACCAGUGGCGAAGGCGGCUCACUGGCCCGGUACUGACGCUGAGGUGCGAAAGCGUGGGGAGCAAACAGG
This 397-nucleotide ribosomal RNA is filed under the name uncultured bacterium. Its description in RNAcentral is "bacterial SSU rRNA". It matches the Rfam family "Bacterial small subunit ribosomal RNA", at positions 362 to 776 of the family's 1533-position model. The record is from RNAcentral.